CAAGGAAUAGUUUAAAUGAGAAUGUCAGCUUUGGGUGUUGAUGGUGGGAAAGGUUUCUCUUCCUUGA
RNAcentral lists this transfer RNA (67 nucleotides) under Nannospalax golani (Golan Heights blind mole rat). Its description in RNAcentral is "tRNA-Pro". The record is from RNAcentral. Lineage: Eukaryota; Metazoa; Chordata; Mammalia; Rodentia; Spalacidae.